AUCCAGCUGACGAGUCUCAAAUAGGACGAAACGCGCGUCCUACAU
Non-coding RNA from Schistosoma haematobium, 45 nucleotides. The record is from Rfam. Lineage: Eukaryota; Metazoa; Platyhelminthes; Trematoda; Strigeidida; Schistosomatidae.